AACUCGGCACCAGUCAACCCCUAUUAUGGGAUUUUCGGUCUCAGUUCAUGCGUAAAGAUAAAAAACUUACGAUUUCCACCACCAGGUGAAUCCACGGUAUGUUGGCAGUAAACAGUUGCAUGUGUCAUACGCUGCUUGUGCUGAUGUGGUCUUGUUGUUAGGGAUUAAAAAUGUGUUCAAAAGGGGGAUAAUAAAUGUUCAGUGCGUUCCAUUUUAAACAUUCUUUUGGCUACUGGUUAAUGCACUGAAAUUUGCCAUUUUUCGUACCAACCUGAGGGACAAUUUUUCACAACUACACGAUUGUUUGAAAGUUAAUUUUUCACUAAACGUCAUUUGAAUGCGCAGUUCCUAUCCGCAGCUCCCAGUCCUACAGUGUGCAAAAAUAGACAGUUGAAAAAGUCUGCUCAUUGUGCUAAUCUGCGCAAUGUGGACUUUCUUUAGAUGACUCUUGUAUUGUAAAUAUUUUCCUGCUUCUUGGAACAAGCGUCAUUCCAAAGAUUGUAAAAAGAUGUUAAGCAGGAGAAAUCUAAAGUUGGAGGACAAUGCAUUUGUUUCCCGUUACUAGUUUUGUUAAACAAAUGAUUGAUUCCAAAUCUUCAGCUUCCCAGGCAGACACCAUCCACAAAGCCGAGGGUGACAUGAUAUUCACAGUGGGCAUGACUGUGUUGUAAAGGGGUAUCACUUUUACAAAGCCAAACAGAUUUAGAUCACGGGUCUACUGUGAAAGAGAUCAUGUGUCCUCAGCUUGUCAUUCUGAUGCAGAACUCUUGAAAUCAAGUUGAACAUUUUGAACCAUAUCAGGACAAAGCUGAAGUUCUAGAGGUAUUAAGAAAGUAGCCGCUUUUUGGUUAGUUUCUAUGCCAUCAGAGAUGCAUCAAUCAGAAUGGUGUUCACUUCCUCGACGUCAUUGAUCACAAAUCUUUGAUGCAUUGUUCUUAUCUCGUAGUUAUAUCGAUUCGUAAAGGCAAAUCGGAAAAUGGUAUUCUUUUCCUUGACAUAAAGAACUGAAAUUUUAUGCAUUAGCAAGUCAUCCGCAUCCAAACAAAUCAAACGCUUAAGAUACGCCUUGUCCGGCAACUUACGAUCCAGCAUCGCAUCCAUCAGCAGAAUGUAUUAACGAGGGAAGUAAUGACCAAAUGCCGACUGUACGAUUUCCAUGCAAGAUGAAUGCAAGAUAAAAUUCAAGGAGAUCUGGAGAACCAUUAGCUGAAUACAAUGAAUACUAUCUUCAGAACAAAAGGUUAAUAAUCAUACUGAAUCAAAAGAGGUACAUACUUGAACAAGAUUUUAAAACGAUAACAGCUGGAAAGGCAUGAAGAAAUUUCAAAGGACGCUACCCGCACGUUACCUUUAGUCGCUGAUUCAUCUAGAAGAUAAAACAUAAACAUUUUUAUAAAUUGAAGUGCAUAUCUGGGCUCCACUAUGCCUGAGAAAUGAACAUCACCAUACUGUUCAGAGUCUUCGUCUACUAUGUGUUGCUAACCAUCAGCCUUCAUCAUCCCAUGUAUCCUGAUUUUAAAGCUUCUCUGCUCAGCCAGCCAUCCUCCAUACACUUCAACUCUUCAUUGUGGCUUCUCUUCCUCUCUUCUUAGCCUGCCAAAUGCAAACAGGAAUAAAGGUUCAUCUCCAUUGUCAUACCAUGGUGUUUUCAUUUGAUGGGUUAUCUGGAUUUCUCAUUUAUACAUCUAAUGUCAUUGUUAAUCCUGCUGCCAAAUCGUCUUCCCGUACGAGUCAUGCAGUUUUAGAUUCCUCAUGGAAUUUCCCUGCAACAUCCACCCAGGUUGAAAAGGGCAUCCUACCAGUUGUGUGGACCAAACCUGCCUCACCGUCUUCGCCUCGCCGUCUUCGCCUCGCCGUCUUCGCCUCGCCGUCUUCCCCUCGCCAUCUUCGCCUCGCCGUCUUCCCCUCGCCAUCUUCCCCUCGCCGUCUUCGCCUCUCCGUCUUCGCCACGCCAUCCUCGCAGCGCCAUCCUCGCCUCGCCAUCCUCGCCUUACCGUCUUUGCUCGUGCCCGGCUUCUCCUCAUCGCCGUCAUCGUGGAACGUCGCGUUUUUGGUAUUUUGUUUUGUUGGUUUUUUUUUUUUUGUUUUGUAUUGUUGUGUGUUUAAAGUUAACCCGUUGGCUGCCACCCAUUUUGCUCCCCUUUUUUUUUUAGUUGUAGGGACCGGCGGCGCUGUUCUGCCCCAUGGUUGAUCACCCAUGGGGUGGGGCAGUCGCCUUGCGCCUUAGGGCGCCGUAGGCAAUGCACCAGUAGGGACUUCCCCUUGUCGAUGCGAUGGUGGAGUACCUGGGGUGUGCAUUCCCGCAAAGGUCUCCAUCAUCAAGUCAGCCCGGACUUGUCCUCGGACAAGUCCCCCUUUCAUCGGAUCCCUCUGAAACGAUGCGUAGCGAAUGUAGAAAAACAACCUACGGGUUGUAAUGGCUUGGCAGCCAACGGGUUAACUUAAGUGUUUGUUUUUGUAUGCAUGUAUGUAUUGUAUAUAUUGUAUAACAUGUGAUGUAAAACUGUGGUGGAAUUGUGGGUGGAGGUGGGAUAAUACAAAACCAAUUCCAUUUA
Molecule: long non-coding RNA, 2555 nt
Filed under: Daphnia magna
Lineage: Eukaryota; Metazoa; Arthropoda; Branchiopoda; Diplostraca; Daphniidae
Description: uncharacterized LOC116921484, transcript variant X3
Source: RNAcentral